This 1574-nucleotide long non-coding RNA is filed under the name Rhinopithecus bieti (black snub-nosed monkey). Its description in RNAcentral is "lncRNA (ENSRBIG00000046459.1)". Lineage: Eukaryota; Metazoa; Chordata; Mammalia; Primates; Cercopithecidae. The record is from RNAcentral.
AAGUUGAGACAAAUGGAGGAAUGUUUGUACUGGGCCCAGGAAGUUGAGACAAAUGGAGGAAUGUUUGUACUGGGCCCAGGAAGUUGAGACAAAUGGAGGAAUGUGUUUGUACUGGGCCCAGGACUGAGAUAUAUGUUUGAUUUCUUACAGUGGAGGUUGCAGUGAGCUGAGAUCCUGACAUUGCACUCCAGCGUGGGCACAGAGUGAAACUCCGUCUUGAAAAAACAAAACAAAACUGGAGUUUUGGAAGACGGAACAUCUAAGAUGAUCACAUGUCCUACAAAAGAAACAUCUACAAAACAGUUUCGCCACCAUUGACAGAUUCUCACUAUAAACAGCAUAAUGGAGAGCCGUGUUGCCAUACACAUCUACAAUAUUCGCAUUGGGACCAGAAUCUACCAGAAUAUUUGCACAAGCCUCUCUCCAGCAUUGUAGAGCCUGUCAGUAUUAAAGCAAGAAGUAAAUUAUAAAUUUUAGGAAAUCAAAAUAAAUAUUCCACAGGUUUCACAAACUAGUUGUAUUUCAAUGAGAUAAAUUCAGAGGUGUCCUGUUUUCACUGUCGUGGAUGUCAAGCUGACAAUUUCUGUCUGCCAGAAGUGUUACUAAUUCCGCGUGGCCGUUGGCACAGGCCCAGUGUAGAGUAGUCCUACGAGAGUGAGAGGACGUUUUAGGAAAGUUCAGUUCACUGUCUCAAAACAUACAAUGAUUUAUGUAAUUGUAAACAUUAAAUACCAUGCUCUUUAUCUGCCUUCAAAACAAAUAUUUAAUAAUCUCCUGAAGAAAGUACAAUAUUCAUUUGCUUUUAUUACUCACGACAUUAAUGAAAGAGUGGCCUAUUUGAAUAGAAAGAGCUUGGCCUUUGGAUUCAGUUCAACUUGGACUUGAAUAUUACUUUAAGAUCUUUCACUUACUAGCUAUCACUUAACCUCUCUGUGCCUCAAUUUUCUCAUCAAUAAAGUGAAGAUGAAUACAGCAGUUAUCUCACAGAACAUCACUGUGAUGCCUCAAUGAGAAUCUAUGCAAAGUAUUUUGAAGAGUUUUUAGCAAAUGUAACAGCUCAGUAAUUGUUAGAUAUUAUAAUUAUUACUUCUACUUAACAAAGACAACAUUUUAAGUAAUAUAAUACAAUUAUGCCUACUUUGUGGUGUGUUUUAAAGGUUAGAGAUAACACUGUAUUUUAACGGUUCUAGGAUGCUCAAUUUCUCAUAUUUUAACAUCUCUGGCAUUGAAAUGCCACUUACAAUUCAUUAUUUAUUAGAACUGUAUUUGGCAAAAAUUUAAACAAUCUUUUAUUGGUACAUAAAAUAAGGAGGCAUCACACAAUUCACGGUGCCUUCCAUGAAGUGGAAUAUGGUACAUACAACAGGUCGAUGGCAGUCCUAGUCACAGGAUUAACACUGAAAGAAAUUUUAGCUUUUAAGAGUGCUACGCAAAAGGGGAGUUGAAAUAAAAACAAAAAAUUGUUGGCCGGGUGCGGUGGCUCACACCUGUAAUCCCAGCACUUUGGGAGGCCGAGACGGGUGGAUCGCGAGGUCAGGAGAUCGAGACCAUCCUGGCUAACACGGUGAAACCCC